RNAcentral lists this long non-coding RNA (222 nucleotides) under Lathyrus oleraceus (garden pea). Its description in RNAcentral is "Pisum sativum (pea) long non-coding RNA (PSAT_LNC031024)". The record is from RNAcentral. Lineage: Eukaryota; Viridiplantae; Streptophyta; Magnoliopsida; Fabales; Fabaceae.
UUCCCUUCGCAUAACCGACUCUCGAUCCUAUCAAUCUCUGGUCGCGAGACCAUCCCUUUCCAGGUUUACUUCGAUCGUUUCCUUUCCCUCCUUUGGGAUAAAUAAUGCACGGUGGCGGCUCUGUUUCUUUUUCCCGCCGAUUUUUCGCGUAAUGCGACACCUACUUCAAGAUGAACAGUUGUUGACACACAUAUGUGCUUGAUCUGAAAUCAUGGAGAGAGC